AGCACUGGGGUAUCUGGUCUGCUCAGAUCUGCUGCUGGAGGACAAGACCAGCUAAGAUUCUUUCAGAGAAAUGGUGGAAGACAAAACAGUGUAGGAGAGAGUCCGAAGAGUUGGCACUCAAACUCAAAAACCUUAUGUGAGAGCAUAGCAAGAAACAUCUUUCCAGGUCUAUCCUGAGCAUCUGGACCCAGUGAGUGAUAAGUGAGAGAAGAGGAGCCUCAGAAAUGUGAGAGAGGAAAAAAAAUGUGGAAGGAGGCACGGAUUGAGAUCAGGCUGCAGAGCGCUUCCAAGUAUGAACAAACCUAAAUGAAGACAGCUGGCAGAGGCUCUUGUCAUCUAAUUCCUUCCAGAUGUGCAGUCAUAUGCUGCAGUUUCUGACUAAUGACAUCCCUGAGGAAAGCCCUGGGGAUGCUGCAGUGAUGCGGUGGGCGAGGGGCAUGCCAGGAACCUGUUGGUGGGCCGAUAGCACUGACUCCCCAGAAGCUGCUGCUUGGAGACCCUGGGGAGGGACCCUCUGCUCUCCCUCUCUUCCCCUUGAGAUCAGCAGGGCUCAGCAGGUGGCACGGGGCUGACUCUGCCAUGCUUGGGCACCCAGGCAGCUCUCCACAGACAAGUGCGUGUGAGGCACCCGAAGUGAUGAGUUGCUGCACUCUGCCUCAGCACUGUCUGUGUUUGCAGGGAGGUAGGGUGAGGGCUGUUUGCCUCAGGAGUGACUCAGGCUGAUGAACCCAAUUCCAGUCAGGCACAGGAGCACUUCUCUGAAUGGUGCUGUUGACUCCUGGCUCCUUGUCUGGCGCUGCUGCUGGUGAGCUCUCUGCUGGAUGAGCAGGAUCAAUGCAUAGGGCAACAUGUAAUAACUGGACAGAGGAAAGUGGUUUCCAGCUCCAGUAACCACAGCAUCACCUUAUCUGGAAUGUCCCAGCCAAACCCAAUGACGACGGCCCAACUGCAGCCAUGCUCUGAGGUGUGUCAGACUGUGCAACGGAGGCCCCAACCUCCCAUAGCCCAUGGCAGCGUUCCUUUCUCUGGUAGCACUUCUCCCUGUGGUGGCUUUGCCUCUUCUGACUCUGAGCUUCCCUCUCAGCUCCUUUCCCUUACCUGGGCCUCCCUCAUUCCUGGAGCAGCACAUCAUCCUGCCUAAAGCUGCUCUUUUGCCACAGGGUCUUCACCUGCAUGAAAUGACCAUUUUGUCCAUGAGCUGCUAGUGAGGGAACGGGCAGGGUGAAUCCACAUGAGGACAGGACUGUGCCGAGGACUGAUGCUAAAGGUACCGUCUCUAAACAGAGGCAUACUGAAUUGACGUUUUCUGCCUGCAGGAUUUCACUGUGGGGUGGUGUACUCCAGGUGUGAUGCAAAAUGGAGCAUCACAUCAUGCUUUGCUGAAAUAACACAUCUCCUGUGGGAGAUGCAAACUCUGAGCGUCUGGAGGAUGAAGGACUGCGUUAUGAAGAGACUUGAGGGAUGUGCUGGAGCACUCCUUCCCCUGUGACCUGGGGGACACCUGCCAGAGUGGGAAGGAUAAAUCAGUGGAGCCCUUCCCUCAAGUUGAGCAAGCUCACCUGAGCAGAAAGAUGCCAGACAGCAGCCCAAGUCACAGAUAGGUGAAGAGUAGUAACUAAGGCAGGAGAGCUGUGAUAUCCAGCGGUGAAGCAGGACAGCUGUGGAGAGAAGAGGCACCACACAGAUGAAGAGGCUGGACUGGCAGCAUUUCUGAGUCCAUGGGACCUUAUCCCCCGGAAGGGGCUGGCUGCUCCCUGCUUACAUGGGUUUCAGUCAUGCCCCAGCUCCCUGACUGGGGAAUAGUCUAGAGGGAAAUCCAUGGGACUUUCCCAUCUCCUCACCCUUCCUGGCAGUGGUAAAGGGAGUACUGGGGAGGGAAAGUUUAGGCGAUACAGUUACAAAGUGCAAGUACCUCUGAGGACAUCAGACCCUGCCCCAUCUGAUUGCUGUGAUAUCAAGGGGAGCCCCAGCUGUGCACUCUGAGCCUCUGAGCGAUGCUUUAUUUGUAAACACUUGUUAAGAAAACAAACGAAAAAAGAGGCUUUUGAGAUUAUCUUGGUCCUGCCACAUCACCAGGUGCUGGAAGAGCUCUGGCUGCCCACGGUGCAGGACCUGGGUAAGCCUCAGGCAUGCCACUGGGGAAUCCCCGGCUGCAGAGAGGAAGAGACACCACCAGCUUCUGUGAAACACCUUCAUUCAUUCCUUGCUGAUCCUGGCAAAAAGUGGCGAGGGGCUGGUUUUGAUCAGAAGCAAUCUGGCGCUGGACCUUGGUGCAGCUGGUAACUGCAACCUGCAGCCCUGAGCUGCGCUUGGCCCUGAGGAGGUUCUGUUGUGUUUGCAUUUGAAAGAGCCUCUUGUGCUCCUGUGCUUGCAGUUGAACGGCUUCCAAGGCAGCUUCCUUUUCUCUCUUUUUGUCACCAUUAUUACUUUUUAAUAAAGUUCCCUGAUUAGAUUCUGAAACUUCAUGGUGAAGCGGCCUUGGCAAUAAUUUCCUCUCGUUGGCCACUCAUAGUGGUUUCCAGGCCAGCUCAGUGCUGCUGCAAAGAAAGACACAGUGGGGUGAGAGGAAGCCCAGGGCACUGACUCUGUCCUGAUGCCACAGUGCUCUUUGGGAGAUACCAGAUGGGCCACAACAUGGUGGGGAGCAGUGGUGUAGGGGCUGAGUGUGGUGUGGGGAGUGCAGGUAUGGGGUAUCCACCCACGUUCAUCUCCUUGACUUCGUUCUCCUCUGGUUCUUCUGUAGGGCUUUUUCUCCAGUCCUUAGAAAGUACUGUUUAUCAAUAUUAACUAUGUUAAUAGUAACAACAAUUAAAACAUUGGCAUUCGUA
Molecule: long non-coding RNA, 2828 nt
Organism: Pipra filicauda (Wire-tailed manakin)
Lineage: Eukaryota; Metazoa; Chordata; Aves; Passeriformes; Pipridae
Exons: 4
Source: RefSeq, a predicted model, not a curated record